Long non-coding RNA from Dreissena polymorpha, 2359 nucleotides. RefSeq lists it as uncharacterized. NCBI's taxonomy places the organism in Eukaryota, Metazoa, Mollusca, Bivalvia, Myida, Dreissenidae. The transcript is spliced from 2 exons. The record is from RefSeq and is a predicted model, not a curated record.
UUGAUUUAUUAUGAUGAGAUUAUUCGUGAAUACUAACCAACGUUAUAAUUAUAAAUAGCUAAUGGUGGAUAACACACUUAUUACUAACAUACUUAUCUUUAGUGUUGACGUUUGUAUUCGGACAGAAUAGUUGAUGAUGCUUUGUAUACACUGUGCAGGCUCGCAUAGAAACAAGAUAUUUAUGUGCGUAAAUGAGUGAUAUAACUUGACCAAGAUUUUGAAAUCACUAUAGUAUAUAGGUAUAUAUAUAUUUACUUUAUGCUAUUGUUGAUAUAUAGCAAAACACAUCCAUAGCCGUUGUAAAUUAUUUAUGAUUUGUGUUUUGUUUCAAUUUGAUGAACACACUGAUGUUUUACGUGCAUAUUUUAGUUGAAAGACAAUAAAAAUAACCUUGUUUGUGUGAAUGAUCAUAUGUAACUUGUAAGAUUUUAUAGCUAUAUCAAAAUAAAAUAUAUUGAAAACAAAAAUAUAUUAAGUAAUAGAAACACAUUGUUUUAUACGAUCAUACGUUUAACAUACCCAAUAACAAUCUCAGCACAUAUUGACAAUAUUUUUAAUUAUGUAGGAAAUCAUGUCCAAAAAUAUUAAUAUGUGGAAAUUUGGAGAACAAUUUCUUAUCAAGUGAGAGCAAUGGGAUGUGCUUGAAAUUGUCAAUAACUGCAAUUUUAAGUAAUAUGUAUUUAUUAGUUUAGGUUAAAUUGAAUUCUCCAUGCUCAACAAACACUUAUGUAUUUGUUAUAACAAAAUUCAUAAUUAAUGAAAUUUGUAAAAAAUCAAUUUGAUAGAAUGACAAUAGAGUGUUGUAAUUCUGACUAAUAUUAAAGCAUGCACUGCACAAUAUAAUAUGGCACUUCAAUAUAUUCAUACACUUUUAUGAUAUUAUUAUACUUGCUAAUUAUUUUAUAUUUGACAUAUAACUGACCCUUAAAAAGUUUUACACAUAUCUUAAGCCAGACUUCCCCAUAAAAUCUGAUUGUUUAUAUUCAAGCUUUAAUUCAAAUCAAAUGUGUUUUGUGUUGUUCAACAAGUAAAUAACCUUUGUUUAUGUACAUUUUAUGUCAUAUUUCAAUAACGUAUUAUACUGAUAUUUACAGUGAGAAUAAAAUACACAUUUUAUUAUGCCCCCCUUCGAAGAAGAGGGGGUAUAUUGCUUUGCACAUGUCGGUCGGUCGGUUGGUCGGUCCGUCCACCAGGUGGUUUCCGGAUGAUAACUCAAGAACGCUUAGGCCUAGGAUCAUGAAACUUCAAAGAUACAUUGAUCAUGACUCGCAGAUGACCCCUAUUGAUUUUGAGGUCACUAGGUCAAAGGUCAAGGUCACCGUGACCCGAAAUAGUAUAAUGGUUUCCGGAUGAUAACUCAAGAACACUUAUGCCUAGGAUCAUGAAACUUGAUAGGGAGAUUGAUCAUGACUUGCAGAUGACCCCUAUUGAUUUUCAGGUCACUAGGUCAAAGGUCAAGGUCACGGUGACCCGAAAUAGUAAAAUGGUUUUCGGAUGAUAACUCAAGAACACUUAUGGCUAGGAUCAUGAAACUUCAUAGGUACAUAAUGAUCAUGACUCACAGAUGACCCCUAUUGAUUAUCAGGUCACUAGGUCAAAGGUUAAGGUCACCGUGACAAAAAACAUAUUCACACAAUGGCUGUCAAUACAACGGAGAGCCCUAAUGGGGGGGGGGUAUGCAUGUUUUACAAACAGCCCUUGUUUUAAUUUGUAUCAUUGUUUAGCUAAAUAAAAUGGUAACCAUGCAAGUGUACAAAUUAUGAUUAUUGGGCUAUAUUGGUAUGAUUAAUUUUUAUCUUUCGCCCAACACCAACGUGACAUUUUGCUAUGGUAAGGCUCUGUUGUAUUAAGUGAAUUGUAUGGAAAUAGCUCCAAGGCCUUUAUGAAGAGCCUGUGUAACACAUCAUGAUCUUUGACUCAUCAAUUGAUUGCAUCAUUUUGUCUCACGUGCGUCAAUAUCUUCAUAUCGUAGAUAACUUCGUCUCUGCUUGUAAGUGAAUUUUAAUUAUUCAUGUUUAGAUAUUUCUCUAAACUGUAAACAUACGUGUUAAAUAACCGUAUCAUUAUUUUACUGUCUGUGUAAUUAAAUUAAAUAUUUUCUAUAGUAUUCUGUCAUAACUGUCAAUAAAUGUAGUUUUUUAAGACAACGCAAAUAUACUAAUCGUAGUGUAGAGUCAACCGCUACUAUAAUCAGUGGUUUGUUUGAAAAGGUAUGUAAUAAUAAUGUGUAUGUAUAUAUGUAUAUUUGUUGAACAAAGUUUGUUGUUCCACUUGUGUUAAUGUACAUAGCUAUCCCUUGAGUGGAAAUAAUGUUGUACGUUUACUAUUUAUUGAUAUCAAAAUAAAAAAAAGAUAUUUG